This 253-nucleotide ribosomal RNA is filed under the name uncultured bacterium. Its description in RNAcentral is "partial 16S ribosomal RNA". It matches the Rfam family "Bacterial small subunit ribosomal RNA", at positions 524 to 776 of the family's 1533-position model. The record is from RNAcentral.
UACGAAGGGGGCUAGCGUUGUUCGGAUUUACUGGGCGUAAAGCGCACGUAGGCGGAUCUUUAAGUCAGAGGUGAAAUCCCAAGGCUCAACCUUGGAACUGCCUUUGAUACUGGGGAUCUUGAGUUCGGGAGAGGUGAGUGGAACUGCGAGUGUAGAGGUGAAAUUCGUAGAUAUUCGCAAGAACACCGGUGGCGAAGGCGGCCAACUGGACCAUUACUGACGCUGAGGCGCGAAAGCGUGGGCAGCAAACAGG